CACGGUCAUUGCCUCUCCACAGGCACUGUCCCUUAUCUGGACUCUGCCACAGCCUCUCCUCCUCCACUGCCAUGAAGAUCUUAAAGCAAUUAAAUCUCAUGCAAGAAAGUCCAUGAUGAAUAAACUUCCCAAAUGUUAAGGAAAGACAAGAUUGGGACCAGCACUGUGCUGAGCCACAUGAGACUCUGAGGCCAAAGAGAGGGGGUACAUUUCUUACCUGGCACAAGCUGCUCCUUUAAAUCGUGCACUGCAGAGGGCAGGGAAGAGGGUCAGCAGUGUUCGGACAUGUUUGGAGCACCAGCAAAGCAGCUUGAGGAGGAGAGAAUGGGGAGCUGUCAAGAGCAGGUGGGAGAAGGUUGAGGCAAGAGGAUAAGGCAGCUUGAUGCAGGUAAACAUGAGGACCUUCAAAGCCAUUUUGGAUGUUGGAAGUGGGAAGAGCCACAAGGAGGAAGGACUCUGGGUACCAGAAUCACUCUUGGAGAUGAGCUUCAUGACAAUUAGGAGUCCCUGCUUGGGAGUACUACAUAAGUGAGAAAUAAAUAUCUGUUGUGUUAAA
This is a long non-coding RNA of Acinonyx jubatus (cheetah), 556 nucleotides long. RefSeq lists it as uncharacterized. The record is from RefSeq and is a predicted model, not a curated record. Lineage: Eukaryota; Metazoa; Chordata; Mammalia; Carnivora; Felidae. The transcript has 4 exons.